GUGCCAGCCGCCGCGGUAAGACGAACUGUCCUAACGUUGUUCGGAAUCACUGGGCUUAAAGGGCGCGUAGGCGGUCGGACAAGUCGGGGGUGAAAUCCUGCAGCUUAACUGUAGAAGUGCCUUCGAUACUGUCCGUCUGGAGGGAGAUAGGGGUGUGCGGAACUUCCAGUGGAGCGGUGAAAUGCGUUGAUAUUGGAAGGAACGCCGGAGGCGAAAGCGGCGCACUGGAUCUCUUCUGACGCUGAGGCGCGAAAGCUAGGGGAGCAAACGGGAUUAGAUACCCCCGUAGUCC
This 292-nucleotide ribosomal RNA is filed under the name uncultured bacterium. RNAcentral describes it as "partial 16S ribosomal RNA". It matches the Rfam family "Bacterial small subunit ribosomal RNA", at positions 505 to 796 of the family's 1533-position model. The record is from RNAcentral.